This 253-nucleotide ribosomal RNA is filed under the name uncultured bacterium. Its description in RNAcentral is "partial 16S ribosomal RNA". It matches the Rfam family "Bacterial small subunit ribosomal RNA", at positions 524 to 776 of the family's 1533-position model. The record is from RNAcentral.
UACAGAGGGUGCGAGCGUUAAUCGGAAUUACUGGGCGUAAAGCGCGCGUAGGCGGUUUUGUAAGUCGGGUGUGAAAUCCCCAAGCUUAACUUGGGAACUGCAUUCGAGACUGCAUAGCUAGAGUAUGGGAGAGGGAAGUGGAAUUUCAGGUGUAGCGGUGAAAUGCGUAGAUAUCAGGAGGAACACCGAUGGCGAAGGCAGGUCACUGGGCCGCAACUGACGCUGAGGAGCGAAAGCAUGGGGAGCGAACAGG